GACGAACGCUGGCGGCGUGCUUAACACAUGCAAGUCGAACGGAAAGGCCCUGCUUGCAGGGUGCUCGAGUGGCGAACGGGUGAGUAACACGUGGGUGAUCUGCCCCUUACUUUGGGAUAAGCCUGGGAAACUGGGUCUAAUACUGGAUAGGACCAUGCUGUAGGUGGUGUGGUGGAAAGAUUAGUUUCGGUAAGGGAUGAGCUCGCGGCCUAUCAGCUUGUUGGUGGGGUAAUGGCCUACCAAGGCGUCGACGGGUAGCCGGCCUGAGAGGGUGGACGGCCACAUUGGGACUGAGAUACGGCGCAGACUCCUACGGGAGGCAGCAGUGGGGAAUAUUGCACAAUGGGCGCAAGCCUGAUGCAGCGACGCCGCGUGGGGGAUGACGGCCUUCGGGUUGUAAACUCCUUUCAGCCAUGACGAAGCCCUUGUGGUGACGGUAGUGGGAGAAGAAGCACCGGCUAACUACGUG
Molecule: ribosomal RNA, 469 nt
Filed under: uncultured bacterium
Lineage: Bacteria
Description: partial 16S ribosomal RNA
Rfam family: Bacterial small subunit ribosomal RNA
Source: RNAcentral